Molecule: ribosomal RNA, 370 nt
Filed under: uncultured organism
Description: bacterial SSU rRNA
Rfam family: Bacterial small subunit ribosomal RNA
Source: RNAcentral
GAGGGUGCAAGCGUUGUUCGGAAUUAUUGGGCGUAAAGCGCGUGUAGGCGGCUUGGCAAGUCGGGUGUGAAAGCCCUCAGCUUAACUGAGGAAGUGCGCCCGAAACUGCCGAGCUUGAGUACCGGAGAGGGUAGCGGAAUUCCCCAAGUAGAGGUGAAAUUCGUAGAUAUGGGGAGGAACACCGGUGGCGAAGGCGGCUACCUGGACGGAUACUGACGCUGAGACGCGAAAGCGUGGGGAGCAAACAGGAUUAGAUACCCUGGUAGUCCACGCCGUAAACGAUGAGAACUAGGUGUCGCGGGUGUUGACCCCUGCGGUGCCGUAGCUAACGCAUUAAGUUCUCCGCCUGGGAAGUACGGCCGCAAGGCUA